Metopolophium dirhodum (rose-grain aphid) is the source of this 1923-nucleotide long non-coding RNA. RefSeq lists it as uncharacterized. Lineage: Eukaryota; Metazoa; Arthropoda; Insecta; Hemiptera; Aphididae. The record is from RefSeq and is a predicted model, not a curated record. The transcript has 4 exons.
UAUACGACAAUAUAAGACAUCAUUUAAUUUAAAAUUUGUGUUCAAUAAUUUUGAAAGUGUAAAUAUAUGAUGAAGAUUGUAACUAUGAUGUGCAAAAAAAACAAAAACUUUCAAUUCAACCGAACAUAGCAUUAUGCAAUAAACAUGAGUUUGAAAAUGCUUAUAAAAUACUUCCAAUACCAAAUGAAGAUGCAUUGAAUACUUUAAAAGACAUUUUAUGUAAUGAUGCCUUAUAUGAACAAACUGUAACCAAUAUUAUAUUCUCAUGACAAGUUGUAAACCAAUUGGAUUCGUAGAUUCAACAGAACGAGUAUGCAGACCCAAUAGAAGUUUUACUAAAUAAAACAAUCACCAAGAUGUUGGAAUAAUAGAAUCAGGCAAUUUCUAUUUGAGUUGAAAAUAGAACAAACUAUUUUUGUUGAUGAUGGUUUGAUUGUCAAGCAACAAAAUAAAAAUAAAUAUAUUAUUACAAGGUCUUGAACAAUAGUUUGAAAUAACACAAGGUCAUCUGUUCAUGCUAGGGCUGUCAUGGCUAGCGCAGAGGCAAUCCAUAGUAACGUUCAGUUCAACUGAAGCAGAAUAUAUUUCGGCAUACGAAACAGUCAAAGUUUUGGUUAGUUUUGGAAAUUACAUUAAUUCUUUAUUGUAUAGAAUAUUAAUUACGGGGCUGUGUUGAAUAUUGUAUAAAAAGUAACAUCAUACUGUUCAAUGAUAACAACAUAGUUGUACGAAUCACGAAAUAAAUGUUUCAAUUACAAGGCCAAUAGAUCACUUGUAUAUAUAGCCGUAUUUUAGCAUACCUACUGUAGGCACUAAAUUAUGAUAUUACUUAUGUGUACAUCAUGCAUUAGUUAUUAUGUUACUUAUUACUAAAAGCAGUGUAGUCAUUUUUGUCUAGAUUCAUCUACAAAUAUAGUUCUAAACUCAACUUAACUGUUGACUAAUAGCUAUACUGACCGGCCAUAAGGACAAUCAAAAUGCAUUUAGCGAGGCAUUUAGUAAAAUAGUAAUUAUGUUCUCUACUUCUUAAUAAGUUAUUGGCCAGUUGGCAGGUAUUGAAAUUAUUUAUUUUAUUUAAGAAAUUAAUUUUAGAAGCAGUACCUACGUACAUUCUUCUUCUUUUAAUUUAGUAAAUGUUUUUUUAUUUAUAUUAAUUUACAUUUUUUUUAAACUAAAUAAUUUAUUAACAUGAAGCAAUGUUAAUCUGUACAUAUACUAGUUAUUGUAAUUAAGUUUUUUUAAUGUAUUUUUUUUACUAAAAAUUUUUAGAAGCAGUACCUACAUUCUUCUUUUAACACCACAAGAAUCAAAGAUAUGGAAAUUGUUGCUAUUAUUUGGCUCACAAAAGCAAGUGAAAAACUAAAAACAACAACACCAGCUGAUUCCUAAGUUUAGUAAAUGUUUUUUUUAUUCAUAUGAAUUUACUUUUUUUUUAACUAAAUAAUUAAUUAACAUGAAGCAAUGUUAAUCUGUACAUAUACUAGAUAUUGUAAUUAAGUUUUUUUAUGUAUUUUUUUUACUAAAAAUUAAGUUUAUAGUGGGUUAUAGUUUUUUUUUUAGAAAUUAUUACCUGUUAUACAAAUACAUUUUAAAUCACAUAAUUGAAAUGCGAGGUGUGCAAGUAUUUAGUUAAAAAAAUAUACUUAUUUUAUAUCUGUUAUAUAAAUUAAAUAAGUAAUAUACAUUUAUAUUGUUACUUAACUUAUAUUUAAAAUGUUAAUCUGGACUAGUUAUUGUCAUAACAUUCGUUUUUUCAAUGUAUUUUAUUUGUUAAAAAUUAAAAUUAUAUAUUUUUUUUUAUUAAUGAUUAUCUGCAUAUACCUAAAUAAAUUUUAAAUCACAUAAUUUAAAUGCAAGGUGUGUACAUUUUAAGUUAAACGAUACCUAUAUUAUAUUUAAAACACUGAACUAUAGUUAGUCACA